This 434-nucleotide ribosomal RNA is filed under the name uncultured Clostridium sp. RNAcentral describes it as "partial 16S ribosomal RNA". It matches the Rfam family "Bacterial small subunit ribosomal RNA", at positions 341 to 792 of the family's 1533-position model. Lineage: Bacteria; Bacillati; Bacillota; Clostridia; Eubacteriales; Clostridiaceae. The record is from RNAcentral.
ACGGGAGGCAGCAGUGGGGAAUAUUGGACAAUGGGGGAAACCCUGAUCCAGCGACGCCGCGUGAGUGAAGAAGUAUUUCGGUAUGUAAAGCUCUAUCAGCAAGGAAGAAAAUGACGGUACUUGACUAAGAAGCCCCGGCUAACUACGUGCCAGCAGCCGCGGUAAUACGUAGGGGGCAAGCGUUAUCCGGAUUUACUGGGUGUAAAGGGAGUGUAGGCGGCUGUGCAAGUCAGAAGUGAAAGCCCGGGGCUUAACCCCGGGACUGCUUUUGAAACUGCAUAGCUCGAGUGCAGGAGAGGUAAGCGGAAUUCCUAGUGUAGCGGUGAAAUGCGUAGAUAUUAGGAGGAACACCAGUGGCGAAGGCGGCUUACUGGACGAUAACUGACGUUGAGGCUCGAAAGCGUGGGGAGCAAACAGGAUUAGAUACCCUGGUA